AUAUUCUUUCAAUGAAAGUUGUCGUUUUUGAAUAUAAAUAUCGAGAAAGUUUUGCCAAUACUCUAAAAAAUGUUAAAAGUGCAUUUUUAAUGGACAAAUAUCAAAGAAAAAACACAAAUUGAAAAAUGAAUGUUAGACAAUAUGAUUAUAUAGUUAAACUAUCUUUAUUUUAUGAUGAAUAUUUUAAAAUAUUUCCAUUAAUCUAGGCCAAAAUCUUAAUAAUGAAAAAAAUAUGUUGAUUUUUGCUACCCAAUUGCUCAAUCUGAGUCCCCUGACUGCAUAAAAGUCGAAUUCUUUGGCGCUUUGAAAUUGAUUAGUCACACAUUAUGAAACUUUAUUAUAUGCAUGGUAUACCAAAUUAGUUCCACAAUAUCAAAUAAUAUUCAAAAAUUAAAAUAUAAAAACAUAUUUUGACUUGAUACAGUCAGUUUUAGCUUAGCUUUCAAACAAUUGAUCAUGGACGGAAAACGAACUAUUUUUUUUAUUUUCUUAACGUUUGCCUUGUUCCUAACAUGCGCAUAUUCCUCAGAAUAUCGAACCUGUCGAAAUCCGAAAGAACCAUCUAAACGAAUUUUUGCUUUCUGCGAACCAAAGCCAAAAUGCCAAGAUCCAACAAAACAUCCAGAUAUGACAUUUGAUUCCCCUGACUGUAAGGAUGGGCAAUAUUGUUGCAAAGUCGUCGUAAUGUAAUGAUGAAAUGGCAAUACAAUAAUUCCUAAUUUGUUUCAUCAAAAGGUGACUGAAAUAAAUAUAAAUACGAA
This is a long non-coding RNA of Drosophila ananassae, 761 nucleotides long. RefSeq lists it as uncharacterized. Lineage: Eukaryota; Metazoa; Arthropoda; Insecta; Diptera; Drosophilidae. The transcript has 2 exons. The record is from RefSeq and is a predicted model, not a curated record.